RNAcentral lists this long non-coding RNA (392 nucleotides) under Phoenix dactylifera (date palm). RNAcentral describes it as "long non-coding RNA (PDAC_LNC004732)". The record is from RNAcentral. Lineage: Eukaryota; Viridiplantae; Streptophyta; Magnoliopsida; Arecales; Arecaceae.
GUGGAAGCUCCGAACCACUAUAAAACCCUGUGUUUGCGAUUGACCUUUCUCUUUCCCCCUUCUUUACUUUAGUGCAUAGAUUCGUGUGUUUUAUUUUUAAUUAGUCAAAAGUUUUUAAAACACCCAAUUCACCCCCCUCUUGGGUGACCAUCUCUGGGCAACAAGUGGUAUCAGAGCGGGUGCUCUGUGUAUUUCUUGAAAGACCUAACCGUCUUAGCCAAAGAUCUAGAUGGCAACACCCUUUAACAAUGUUCCUGCCGAGGGGCAAGCAACCAAUAGACCUCCACUCUUCAAUGGGACAAAUUAUACCUAUUGGAAGACGAGAAUGAGAAUUUUCAUUCAAGCACAAGACUAUGCCUUGUGGAGGGUUAUAGUCAAGGGACCACAAGNNN